GGGGACAGAGAGGGGGGCCCCAGCACUUAGGAGGGGACGGCACGAGCAGAGUUCCAAAGCUAGUCUUCACUAUAGAGAGUCUGAGGACAGCCCGGGCUUCAAUAGGCCAUCUCUCGGAAAUCCCCAAAGAAAAGAAAAAUGAGAGGCACCGAGUGGUUUGCCAUCCCAGCCCUCACUAUCACCAGGAGGUAAAUGUCAAUAGGAGGUCUGGAGGCCGGCUCGUCCCUUCCACGAUUCGGUGCCUUCACCUGUUCCGUUCAUGGGAAUGUCCACAGCCCCAUACAAGCUCCCUACAGGACCCCUCCGUUUGAACCGCUCCUCUCCCGGAAGCCCCUCCCAGCGCUCUCCAUGUCUACUGCAAGGCUCGAGGAGUCUUUUCCUCACCGUGCACUUAUAAUUGUAUCUUUAUUCUGAUUAAAAAAAAAAAACUA
Molecule: long non-coding RNA, 431 nt
Organism: Mus musculus (house mouse)
Lineage: Eukaryota; Metazoa; Chordata; Mammalia; Rodentia; Muridae
Product: predicted gene, 31999
Exons: 2
Source: RefSeq, a predicted model, not a curated record